AGAAUAUUCUGUGCUCUCUCUGGAUGGGGAUGGCUGUAAAUUUUUAUGGCUUCAGUUCCAAGAAGCGCGGAACAUAGAAACCAAAAGAGGUUCAAAAGAAAAGGAAUCAAAGACCCAAGUUCCUCAAACUCAAUCAAGUAAAACCCAAAAAUGUGUACUGAAGUUUGACGAUGACUCACGAACAUGGACUUAUCGGCUAUCAGCAUGAUAUCGAAUGAAAAAGGAAGCAAAUUUGGUUUUCAACUUUUUCAAGUAUGACGCUAGAUUUUAGGUUGCUGGAGAUCAGAUGAAAAAUAACCGUUAAUGUUUUUUCCCAACAUAGGAAUCGAAGACUAGAAGGAUCGAAAUGGACUCGGCCUAAGAAUCGAAGAAGGCCACUUGCGUAGGAUAGAAAACGAAAAAAAUAGGGACUCUGGUAUUUCGUCAAAAGCGAUGAAAUGACGAACAACAAGUUAUGUCAGUCUGAGGCACUGAUAAGYAACAAAACAAAAAAUAUGCAGGCAGUUUAAAAAGCGACAAAAUGCAGAAAUCAGACGAAGUAACGAAUACCUACUUAGAAAAGAACUAAAAUGAAGGUGAUACACAGAAAAUGACUGAGUGCGCAGAAGGAUGUUGCUUGUGCUAUCUGUGAUGGUUUAAUAGUGAUAACUAUGGAAGAAAUCAGGAGAGAUUGCAGCUAUCAUGGAGAGGUCUUCCUGUCAUGCAGGACACAAACAACGGUUUUAGGGAUGCAACAGCACUGUUCAUCUUGCCAUUUAAUGAUCUACAAAGGUUGCAACUGUCAUGGAGAGGUCUUCCUGUCAUGCAGGACACAAACAUCGGUUUUAGGGAUGCAACAGCACUGUUCAUCUUGCCAUUUAAUGAUCUACAAAGGUUGCAACUGUCAUGGAGAGGUCUUCCUGUCGUGCAGGAAACAAACAACAGUGGAACCGGAAUAGAAAGACCCCAGUUGCCACCAAGAGGUUUGCAAGUCAUUGAUUCCWAUGAGAGAAUGCAGCUGUCUUGGAGAGGUUUGCCUGUCAUGCAGGACACAAACAACAAUGUMAGUGAUCCUAUUUUUACCUACAUACUUCAAACAGGGAAACCGUUUWUUAUCAGUGUAGUAUAUACAGUGUCUAAUUUUGUCUGUACAUUAACUGAUGCAAUUGYUUAUCGUAACAUUUCUGUGGUAAUUCCUUCAUUGCCAUCCAAUGUACGAUGACCGUACCUGCCAGUAGAGAUUUUUUUAAAGUUUUCUUUAUAUUUAUUUAUUGAUCAUUUUUAUA
Actinia tenebrosa (Australian red waratah sea anemone) is the source of this 1265-nucleotide unclassified non-coding RNA. NCBI's taxonomy places the organism in Eukaryota, Metazoa, Cnidaria, Anthozoa, Actiniaria, Actiniidae. The record is from RefSeq and is a predicted model, not a curated record.